Molecule: long non-coding RNA, 586 nt
Filed under: Vombatus ursinus (common wombat)
Lineage: Eukaryota; Metazoa; Chordata; Mammalia; Diprotodontia; Vombatidae
Description: lncRNA (ENSVURG00010020278.1)
Source: RNAcentral
CUUAUUUCUGGAAGUUCUUGACACUUCCAUCCUGGCUAUUGUACAAGCAGAAGAUCUUGGAGUAGGUGAAUAACAUUGAGUCAGCAGCUAAGUGGAAAAGUAUACUGAAUUUGGAGUUAGAUGACCUGGUUUCAAAUCCUAUCUUUGCCGCUAACUUCCUGUGUGACCUUAAACCAAUCACUUAACUUGCCUAGGUCUUGGUUUCCUCAUUUAUAAAACAUAAGGAUGGGCCUGGAAGACCCCUUCUAUAUCUAAAUCUAUGGUGCUAUGUUUAAAAUGGUGUUUGAGGAAGAUCAUUGGUGCUUUGUGUUCCAGGAUCCAUUGCCUAAGGCAAAGGGGUCUUCAUUUUGGGAAUUACCAGAGUGACCAGUCAAGACCUGCGUGAGGACCCAGAUGAUCCUAUUCUCUGGGCUGGCAAGGAGAGCUUUGGCCUUGGAAUAGUGGAUAGAAAAUCUUCCCAAAAGAAUGAUGAUGAACUGAACUUUGAAAGAAGUGGUAGAAGAUCUACGAGAGAGACCUCAGGUAUUGCUCUCCACUGUCUUCAGGCUCACAUAAUACUUUGUCCAAUGUUGACUAUGAAUACUGU